RNAcentral lists this ribosomal RNA (464 nucleotides) under uncultured bacterium. Its description in RNAcentral is "partial 16S ribosomal RNA". It matches the Rfam family "Bacterial small subunit ribosomal RNA", at positions 28 to 507 of the family's 1533-position model. The record is from RNAcentral.
GACGAACGCUGGCGGCGUGCUUAACACAUGCAAGUCGAACGGAAAGGCCCUGCUUGCAGGGUACUCGAGUGGCGAACGGGUGAGUAACACGUGGGUGAUCUGCCCUGCACUUCGGGAUAAGCCUGGGAAACUGGGUCUAAUACCGGAUAGGAGCCAUCUUUAGUGUGAUGGUUGGAAAGUUUUUUCGGUGGGGGAUGAGCUGGCGGCCUAUCAGCUUGUUGGUGGGGUAAUGGCGUACCAAGGCGGCGACGGGUAGCCGGCCGGAGAGGGUGGACGGCCACAUUGGGACUGAGAUAAGGACCAGAGUCCUACGGGAGGCAGCAGUGGGGAAUGUUGCAGAAUGGGCGGAAGCAUGAUGCAGCAACGCCGAGUGCGGGAUGACGGCCUUCGGGUUGUAAACCGCUUUCGCCUGUGACGAAGCGUGAGUGACGGUAAUGGGUAAAGAAGCACCGGCUAACUACGUG